UUGGAAAAAAGUUUUGCAACUCUCGAUCAAACCGUUCGUCGUGUUUGGCUUCUCAUUUCAAUUCAAACCUCGCCACUUUUCUCUCAAACUUUCUCUCUCCUCCACCUUCUCCGCCGUCUGCCAUCACCACCGUCUCCACCAUCACCCUGCUCGGCCUUCCAUCGACGUCCACUUCUCGGCAACCUAAUCCCGUUUUCCCUCAUUAUCUCCGUCGAAUUAUCAUGUUUGAUUUGUUCGCAUCCUUCUCUGUGGAUCUGACAUUUUAGAGGACUAAAGCUAUCAAGGCCAGACUUCAGCAAAUGGACCGCGCUACUUCUUCUAAUCGCCGCAUAUCUUCUGAAUAUGGUAUCCCAAUUGAUCGAAAGGAGGCAGAAAUCCUUCUUGGAUUGGGUUCUUACCAGGAAGCUUACACAUGCUGACAUUCAGGCAGCUGAUCUUGAUGAUGAUAACGUCGUAAGGUGAGUUCUGCAAUUCAAGAGCAUUGAUGAUCGAAGUCAAGUAUAUAUAGUUUAUAUUAUACUUAACCAUUAUAUAUUUGUUUGUUACAUUGCUGCAGAGUUUGUUAUAAUGAAGCUAAAAGAGAUGGAGAAGAUCACUGCCGAGGAUGUCACUAUGUUGAUGGAGUGCUUCAGGAAUGAUUCAGGAACAUUGACAGCAGCCGACAUAAUAAACACAGAAUAAUCUGCAUUCCGCACGGUGAACUCAAUUACGUUGAUGGAGAUUGACACGUUCAUAGAUUCCGAGUUCAAGCGUAACACAUCUGCUGUUUGUUUACUUGAAGAGGAAAGAGAAAAUGAGUGGCUUCAAUCAGUUGCUGCUGAAUGCAACAUCUCUGAGACAAACAAUACGUGGUAAAUAGUUUUUCGCGGAGCUCGGUGAUGAUGAUGAUUAUGGAAGAAACGAGCUGAUUUUACUGUCUCAUUUUACAUGGUAUUGCAUUGGCGUGCAAAUCAUAAAGCCAAAUGUCAACAAUUAAGUGUUUCUUCCAAGUAUUUGAUAUUCUGAUGGUAGAUGUAUUGAUGAUGGCUCUUCAAAUGAGAUUAUCAUAGGUUUGUCAAUCAUCAUACGCAAUCUCAAAAAAGAGCAUGCUUGGCUUGAUGAAGGAAGGGAUAUUAAAUGGUUAACCUGUCAUUCGAUGUGGCUGUAAUCUCCUGGUGUCCGAUGCGGUUGCUGUAAUGAUUUUGUGGCUUUAAAGUAAGGAAAAGAACCAUGGAAUUCUGUUUAGUUUAGUUUGUUGAAUUUCUUGGAACCACCUUGCUGCAUGUUAGUAUAAGAUUACAAGGCUGUCUUGAAGUCUGACACUGCUAUGUGCCUGCGUUGAAGCUCUUAUCACAUUUCAACGUCUUAAGUGCUACGCAUCAGACUAUGAUUAAUGGCUGGAGCCUGGGAGGAGAUGAAUUGCGACUUUGUAGUAGAAUGCAAAAGUAUUUAAAGUGUAUAUAAAUAUUGUUUUACUUAAUCUCUCUUUGAACAAAUAUCUGGUUGUAUGUUUGCUUUAGGGGUUCAAAUUUGCUUUUUUUAUAUUAGCACGCAUCGCGUGCAUAUAAGACUAGUAGU
Long non-coding RNA from Spinacia oleracea (spinach), 1557 nucleotides. RefSeq lists it as uncharacterized. Lineage: Eukaryota; Viridiplantae; Streptophyta; Magnoliopsida; Caryophyllales; Amaranthaceae. The transcript has 6 exons. The record is from RefSeq and is a predicted model, not a curated record.